RNAcentral lists this unclassified non-coding RNA (2235 nucleotides) under Hevea brasiliensis (rubber tree). Lineage: Eukaryota; Viridiplantae; Streptophyta; Magnoliopsida; Malpighiales; Euphorbiaceae. The record is from RNAcentral.
UUUUGUUAAAAUUAUAAUAUUUAAAUACUUAAAUAUGAAAAAUAAAUUAAUUUUUAGUAAAAAAAAUAUAUUACUAUCAGGUCUGGGGCAGGUCGGGUCUAUUCGGGAACAAUUGCUAUCCUAGUUAGGAUGUUCAUGAUGUCAUUCUCUAUAUAAUGUUGAUUAUUGGAUUGGCAUGAUAAUCUUUGAUCGGCUAGCAAAAAUAGAUCUUGAUAGCCAAGUAUCAUGCGAUUUUGUUAGCAGUUUAUAGGCGUGGGACUGUUUGUAGGGAGCAAUGUUUUUGAAUAAUAAUAUUUUGAAAUCAUUGUAUGUAGGUGCUCCCUCAUAGGAUAAAUCUUGCAGUCAAAAUGCUUAAUAAGGUGAUUCUUAGCUUCUAUUAGUGUAAGAUAAUGGUACUAUUAAAAUCAUCAUAUUCUGGAAACAUAUUUUGAAGAUUGUUUUCUACAUUAUAAUGAGCUUAGAGACAAACAAGAAUGGAAUUGGCCAUUUUUUGGCUGUCUUUUGUGGACGUUAAGGUGAAAGUAAUGGUGCCAACGAUUGUUUUGGUUUCGAACCGAAAUAAACUAACCAAAAUGCUAAAAUAUAAGAACCGAAAUUAUGGAAAAAUUGAACUGAACUGAUUAAUUCGGUUUUGUUUGGUUUUUCAGUUGUGGCAUUUCCCCUAUUGCAAACCCAUUUAACCUAUUAAUCACAUGCACCCAUCAAUGGUUCUACCAAGAAAUCAAAACGAAAUACAAGAACAAGAACAUAAUCCCACACUUGAAAUUAGCACAUAAUUAAGAAAAACAUCCUCAAUACACAACCCAAUGAUUACAAAAAGUCUCAAAAGAAUAUAAUUGAAACCUGUAGUCUGUGCCUUCUAGUAAGUUUCAAUGAACAAAAGUAGAGCAUAUUGGAGAUUCCAUUUCUAGAGAUAAAAGAAAGGAGAAAUUAAAAUUGUUUGUUGCAUUGAAUUUUUUUUAUUUGAAAUCUUUAAGUCCAAAUUCUAUUAACAUUUGAAUGGGGGAUCUACUGCAUAGAAACUACUCUCCAUCAUAAGCACCAGCAAUGAAUUAGAGACAGAACAUAUGCUUUCCUUUCACAGUUAACAAAGCCUAGCUAAAUUUUCAGCAAUCCAAUGAUAGAGCAAAAUCCAAUGUGAAGUAAGCAAUUUGCAGCUACCGAAUGAUGGAGAAAAAUCUUAGAAGCCAUAAACCAGCUAAAUUUGCAAAGCACAAUUUCUCAACUAAACAAGCAAAGCCUAGAAGCCAUAAACUAGCUAAAAGAAAAAGAGAGGUCAGUUACUCUAAAGCUCCCAAAAUCAAGAACAUGUAUCGUAUCUGAAAACCCUAGAACUCAAUAUCAGAUUCAAAACAAUACAUCAAAUCCCAUAAUCCCUAUCAACCAAAAGAAAAAUCACAAAAUUCCUAACGUAAAAACAAAAUUGAUGAACAUAAAGAGUAACAGCAAGAGAGAGAAUGUGCAAAUAUUGCACAUAUUGACACUCUCACUCGGCUGCCAUUGUUGAUGAACUCAUCACGUACCUUGUUGAGAAAUCUUUUUCAAUUUGGCUAAUUAUUUGUUUUCCUUUCAAUUUUCUCAGGAAAAUGCAGACAAAAACUAAAAUUGCAAGGAUAAAACUGAAGAAAGAGAUAGCCAAAGAAUGAGAAGUCUAGGGUUUGGGCUAUGAGGGGUUGGUUUGUGUGUAGAGAGGGACAGUGAACAUCGAGGAGGGGGAUGAAAGAAAUAGAGGAGCGGAUAUAUAUGUAUAUGGGUUUGGUUCGAUUAUUUUGAGAACCAAACUAACUGAAGUUUCUAAAAAUCAAUAGUUGAAAAACUAAAUUAAAUUGGCUUAGUUCGGUUUCUCAGUUAUAACUGAAUUCUGCUCUGCCCUACUUGCCAUAUACUUGGUUAUUUACCUAUUUUAUUCUAUAUUUAUUACACUAUGUAAUUUAACUUUUUGUAUAUUUGAUUAAUGUUUGCAAAGUACUUGAUCACUGCUAGAGCAAGGUAAUUACUUGAUCACUGCUAGAGUAACGUAAUUUGAGAUGGGGAUCAAUCCAAUGAAUUAGUAAUGUAUCUUCAUAAAACCUUCUAUAAUUAUUAUGGGUUUGUAAAUGAGAAGGGAUGGUUGAGCAGCCUAAAUUUUGAAAGGGCUUGAAAAGUUCAAUUUAGAUGCCAGUGGGUAGGGGUGGCCACGGUUUAGGAACCGCCGGUUACAGUUCUUGAACAGCCGGUUCAGGUUCAAUAAAAUCA